RNAcentral lists this ribozyme (116 nucleotides) under Aedes aegypti (yellow fever mosquito). RNAcentral describes it as "drz-agam-1 ribozyme". It matches the Rfam family "drz-agam-1 ribozyme". Lineage: Eukaryota; Metazoa; Arthropoda; Insecta; Diptera; Culicidae. The record is from Rfam by way of RNAcentral.
UGCCCAGCAACUCCUAUCCCUACUUUCUCGUGGUACUGGCCGGGGUACGAGCAACCUUAGGGAAGAUCGAGUAACUAACCCCGGUGUGAACUCUGGUGAUAUGCUGACAGGGAAGG